Molecule: ribosomal RNA, 253 nt
Filed under: uncultured bacterium
Lineage: Bacteria
Description: partial 16S ribosomal RNA
Rfam family: Bacterial small subunit ribosomal RNA
Source: RNAcentral
UACGUAGGUGGCAGGCGUUAUCCGGAUUUAUUGGGCGUAAAGGGAACGCAGGCGGUCUUUUAAGUCUGAUGUGAAAGCCUUCGGCUUAACCGGAGUAGUGCAUUGGAAACUGGGAGACUUGAGUGCAGAAGAGGAGAGUGGAACUCCAUGUGUAGCGGUGAAAUGCGUAGAUAUAUGGAAGAACACCAGUGGCGAAAGCGGCUCUCUGGUCUGUAACUGACGCUGAGGUUCGAAAGCGUGGGUAGCAAACAGG